UACGUAGGCGGCGAGCGUUGUCCGGAAUUAUUGGGCGUAAAGGGCGCGCAGGCGGGUCGGUAAGUCUGACUUAAAAGUUCGGGGCUUAACCCCGUGAGGGGAGGGAAACUGCUGAUCUAGAGUACAGGAGAGGAAAGUGGAAUUCCUAGUGUAGCGGUGAAAUGCGUAGAUAUUAGGAAGAACACCAGUGGCGAAGGCGACUUUCUGGACGAAAACUGACGCUGAGGCGCGAAAGCCAGGGGAGCGAACGGG
This 252-nucleotide ribosomal RNA is filed under the name uncultured bacterium. RNAcentral's name for it is "partial 16S ribosomal RNA". It matches the Rfam family "Bacterial small subunit ribosomal RNA", at positions 524 to 776 of the family's 1533-position model. The record is from RNAcentral.